CUUUAUGGCGGCUGUGCGUGGGAGACCUUCGGGUCUACCGGUUGCCUUGAUUGCCGGUUUCUCACCCCGCGCACAGCUGUCACCCAA
Molecule: non-coding RNA, 87 nt
Filed under: Pseudomonas mohnii
Lineage: Bacteria; Pseudomonadati; Pseudomonadota; Gammaproteobacteria; Pseudomonadales; Pseudomonadaceae
Source: RNAcentral